RNAcentral lists this transfer RNA (70 nucleotides) under Heterogamodes hebraica. RNAcentral describes it as "tRNA-Ser". It matches the Rfam family "tRNA". Rfam says of the family: Transfer RNA (tRNA) molecules are approximately 80 nucleotides in length. Their secondary structure includes four short double-helical elements and three loops (D, anti-codon, and T loops). The record is from RNAcentral. Lineage: Eukaryota; Metazoa; Arthropoda; Insecta; Blattodea; Corydiidae.
AGUUAAAAACUUUAAUGAAAGUACUAUGUUUUGAAAACAUUAAAAAGGGGUUUAAAUCCCCUAUUAACUU